Ameiurus melas (black bullhead) is the source of this 74-nucleotide non-coding RNA. The record is from the annotation of a GenBank genome assembly. Lineage: Eukaryota; Metazoa; Chordata; Actinopteri; Siluriformes; Ictaluridae.
GGCAGUAGUGGCUUAGCAGUUAUGGCUCUGGGUUACUGAACAGAAGGUCGGGGGUUCAAGCCCCAGCACUGCCA